Molecule: ribosomal RNA, 459 nt
Filed under: uncultured bacterium
Lineage: Bacteria
Description: partial 16S ribosomal RNA
Rfam family: Bacterial small subunit ribosomal RNA
Source: RNAcentral
CCUACGGGUGGCUGCAGUGAGGAAUAUUGGUCAAUGGGCGCGAGCCUGAACCAGCCAAGUCGCGUGAGGGAAGACGGUCCUGUGGAUUGUAAACCUCUUUUGUCGGGGAGCAAAAGCCGCCACGCGUCCCCUUCCGAGAGUACCCGAAGAAAAAGCAUCGGCUAACUCCGUGCCAGCAGCCGCGGUAAUACGGAGGAUGCGAGCGUUAUCCGGAUUUAUUGGGUUUAAAGGGUGCGCAGGCGGAAGAUCAAGGCAGCGGUAAAAUGGCGGGGCUCAACCUCUUCCAGCCGUUGAAACUGGUAGUCUUGAGUGGGUGAGAAGUAUGCGGAAGGCGAGGGGUAGCGGUGAAAUGCAUAGAUAUCACGCAGAACUCCGAUUGCGAAGGCAGCAUACCGGCGCCCAACGGACGCUCAUGCACGAAAGUGUGGGUAUCGAACAGGAUUAGAUACCCUUGUAGUC